AUGAACGCUGGCGGCGUGCCUAAUACAUGCAAGUCGAGCGAACGGACGAGAAGCUUGCUUCUCUGAUGUUAGCGGCGGACGGGUGAGUAACACGUGGAUAACCUACCUAUAAGACUGGGAUAACUUCGGGAAACCGGAGCUAAUACCGGAUAAUAUUUUGAACCGCAUGGUUCAAAAGUAAAAGACGGUCUUGCUGUCACUUAUAGAUGGAUCCGCGCUGCAUUAGCUAGUUGGUAAGGUAACGGCUUACCAAGGCAACGAUGCAUAGCCGACCUGAGAGGGUGAUCGGCCACACUGGAACUGAGACACGGUCCAGACUCCUACGGGAGGCAGCAGUAGGGAAUCUUCCGCAAUGGGCGAAAGCCUGACGGAGCAACGCCGCGUGAGUGAUGAAGGUCUUCGGAUCGUAAAACUCUGUUAUUAGGGAAGAACAUAUGUGUAAGUAACCGUGCACAUCUUGACGGUACCUAAUCAGAAAGCCACGGCUAACUACGUG
RNAcentral lists this ribosomal RNA (496 nucleotides) under uncultured bacterium. Its description in RNAcentral is "partial 16S ribosomal RNA". It matches the Rfam family "Bacterial small subunit ribosomal RNA", at positions 29 to 507 of the family's 1533-position model. The record is from RNAcentral.